Molecule: non-coding RNA, 29 nt
Filed under: Rattus norvegicus (Norway rat)
Lineage: Eukaryota; Metazoa; Chordata; Mammalia; Rodentia; Muridae
Source: RNAcentral
UGGUGUUUUAUGUGCAAACAUUGUUCUCA